RNAcentral lists this ribosomal RNA (250 nucleotides) under uncultured bacterium. RNAcentral's name for it is "partial 16S ribosomal RNA". It matches the Rfam family "Bacterial small subunit ribosomal RNA", at positions 525 to 775 of the family's 1533-position model. The record is from RNAcentral.
ACGUAGGGGGCUAGCGUUAUCCGGAAUUACUGGGCGUAAAGGGUGCGUAGGUGGUUUUUUAAGUCAGAAGUGAAAGGCUACGGCUCAACCGUAGUUAGCAUUUGAAACUGUAUUACUUGAGUGCAGGAGAGGUAAGUGGAAUUCCUAGUGUAGCGGUGAAAUGCGUAGAUAUUAGGAGGAACACCAGUGGCGAAGGCGACUUACUGGACUGUAACUGACGCUGAGGCAUGAAAGCGUGGGUAGCAGACAG